RNAcentral lists this ribosomal RNA (497 nucleotides) under uncultured bacterium. Its description in RNAcentral is "bacterial SSU rRNA". It matches the Rfam family "Bacterial small subunit ribosomal RNA", at positions 899 to 1397 of the family's 1533-position model. The record is from RNAcentral.
ACUCAAAGGAAUUGACGGGGGCCCGCACAAGCGGUGGAGCAUGUGGUUUAAUUCGACGCAACGCGUAGAACCUUACCAGGGCUUGACAUCCCUCUGGCGGGCAUAGAGAUAUGCCAUCCCUUCGGGGCAGAGGAGACAGGUGGUGCAUGGUUGUCGUCAGCUCGUGUCGUGAGAUGUUGGGUUAAGUCCCGCAACGAGCGCAACCCCUACGAUUGGUUGCCAUCAUUAAGUUGGGCACUUUAAUCGGACUGCCGGUGAGAAACCGGAGGAAGGUGGGGAUGACGUCAAAUCAUCAUGCCCCUUAUGUCCUGGGCUACACACGUGCUACAAUGGUUGGUACAGAGGGAAGCGAAGGAGCGAUCUGGAGCGGAUCCCAAAAAGCCAGUCAUAGUUCGGAUCGCAGGCUGCAACUCGCCUGCGUGAAGCAGGAAUCGCUAGUAAUCACGGGUCAGCAUACCGUGGUGAAUACGUUCCCGGGCCUUGUACACACCGCCCGU